GUGUGAGAGACCGAGGGUCAGACAAGGGGACGGUCUCUGUUUGCCCAGCCCAGGAGGAUUGUCACACUGGGGCAAAUGUGCAAAGAGCCAAGCAAGAUGCUGCUGGAACAGUCCCAAGCCAGGUCCAAAGUUUGCCUACAGCCCUGACGGGGAGAAGGGGACAACAGAACGACAGGCCACUGCAUCGUGUCCACCCCAGGGCCUGACAGACCUAGACUUUCCAUCAGUCCUGCCCAGGCCUUGUUCUGGGUGCUAUUCCUUCCGACAAGCUUAACACUCCUCUGCUCAGUGACACAGGUGUGCGUGUGUAUGAAAUGACUUGCUCUCUCCUCGCUACGAGGUCUCUUUGGAGGAAAAGUCUAAUAAACAGGAGAAGCAGAAUAUUUACAAACUACACCUGGCCUUUAAGAUAAGGUUUCAUAUAACCUAAGCUGGCCUCGAACUCCUGAUCCUCCUGUCUCCAUCCUCGCACAUCCUGAGAUUGCAGGGACGUGUGCCAACCAUGCCUCGUUCUACACCUUGCUCUUCAGUUACUUUCUUUUAACGCUGUUUCAUCCUGGGCAGCUGGCUCUUUCAGGGGCCCCGGGCACUUCACCUCUGCUUCCUAGUCUGACGAGGAAGAUACCACUUCGUUUCGUCGUGCAUUCACCUAGACACAUGCAUGCCGGGCGAGUGCUCUACCACUGAGCUACAUCCCCUGCCCUCACAUACCCCUUCUUAGCGUGCUGCCCAACAAACACUGCCGCAAAAUCUGUGCGGUAGACUCGAAGCACAUCGGUGGCUGUCACCAGCAGACCCCAGAGCUGAGGAGGGCAGCUGUUCCUACUCUUUGGGCACCUGCUGACUUGAGCUGUCCUGAAUCAACAUCUGACUGACCGAGUCUCCAUCAGGAGUAGUCACCCCCCAAGGCUUAAAUGCAGCAGGAGCAUGGAGGAAGGACUCCCUAAGGAAUCAAACCACCCGGGAAAUAACAAAGUCCUUCUGUUCAGUGUACAGAGCUGCUCAUGUGACCUUGCCUUGGAAACACACUGUAUCAGUGGCUCUUCGCCCACGUGGACAUAAACCUUUAGUAUUAUUUUUGUGUGCUGGGGAUGGAACACAGAACCUCAUAUGUGCUAGGCCACGCCUCACCUGAGCUACACUCCCAUCCCAAUAUCCAGUAAUUUUAUACAGAAUUCAGGGUGUUCCAAGGGCUUCCCGAAGUUCAUUCACAGACCUCAGGUUAAGAGGUGUCAGACUGGAACCCUCUAAGUCCCCUCCACUAACUUGGUUGGAUGGUCCAGCCCUGAGCAGUGCCCUAGCACAAGAAUAUGGAUAGCAUCCUCAGGUAGGUGCUGAUCUUGUGUCAUAGCCUGCUUCUUCCCGACUCUUUCAGGCUAGUCAAAGGCCAAGCUCUUUCACUCUAUGCUGGACACAUGUCAGGCCUAAGUCUAAGCCUUUAGCCAGUGACCACACUUCAGAGACAGAACUGACGCACGCAAGGGUUAGUAUCAGACCGUGCCAAGCACACAUGCACCCUUGCUCCUGACGUGGGGGGUCCUGGCCCUGAGCUCUACUCUCAAAGAUAGACACCUCCAUCCCGGCCUGUCGAGCCUGCCUACAGGUCUGGGGGCCCAAGCUCUCCUUCCCCGCUCCAAUAGACUUGGGUCUUUGGCUUUAAAGCAGCCUAGAGCCCAGUUCCACGCAUUCCUUCCGGAGCGUCUCUGCACAGUGUGCCCAUGUGGCCAUGGAGAUGAAGCCCUGAGGCAUGCAAGCUGUCCAGAGUGGCAAGUCCGUCCCUCCUUCCCACCUCCCAGUAUGUAAAGACCCCAAAUUCCACGGGGGGGGGGGCGGUGCGGGGAGACACUGGGACACUGCUCAUGAGCCAUGUUGGAGCUCAGUCACAGCCAAUGAGCAGGGGGAUGUGGUGGGGUAGGUGGUCAGAUGUGAGAACCAUGGAGAGCAGAGAAGAGGUUAGCAGGGGUUAGUCAUGGCCACACUCCCCUUCCCCUGCCCACAUGCCUUGCCAAUGAUAAUCUUAUCACCACAACAGACUUCAAGUCAGACAAACUUAAAACAAAACAAGACACACUCAGCAAGACACAAGGUAGAGAAGUUUGUUUUUAGUGGUUGCUCUGGAGGAAAACAACAAAACUCGGGGGGGGGGGGAGCAUUUGUGUAGACCAGUCUUUGUAAGGACAGUAUUCCUUGACUCUGCCAAUACAAACUGCUGCCACAGGGGGUUCCCGCCCCAUUCCUGGCCCUCUGGAUGCUGGCCUUGAGCUUACCGACCCCACGACCCCAAGCACCAAUGGUAGGCAGAGCCACAGGAGAACUGCAGCCUGCAGACGCUGGAGCCCGCAGGCUCUAUGGCUUCCCUCGGUCCCCAUCUUCCCUUAGAUAGUCAAAGGGAUACUGUGCCUUGUAAGAAACUGCCACAUACUCAUGACAUUCUGAAGUCAGAGAGAGGAGCAACUGCUGGGCUUGGCUCCCUGUUGGACUAUGGUGGCUGCGGCCCCUCAGAGGCAGUGGGGAUGAGUGGGCGAGGUUACGUUACCUUCCUGGACACAGCAAGGGCAGAAGGAGAGAGGUCUACGCCGUGGAGUCCCGCCACUGGGCUCAACUUCAAAAGGACCAAACAAGGAAGAGGAGACAGAGAGAGACAAAAAGAGGAAGAGGGAGGGAGAGGAGGAGUUUGGAGGUGGAGAGGGACCGGGAGAGGGUGAAAUAAAAACAAGCAGAGGACAAAAACAGAAAAGGUGAGAAAGGAACAACAGGAAGAAAAGAAAAAAAAUCCACAAGAAUGGAGAAGCAGAAACAGGGAAACAAAGUCUACGAAUGAAUUAAGUCCUUUGUUCAAGCACAGAAAUCGAACAAGAGCGGGCCCGGGCUGCAGGCAGCAGUGGCUGGUGAGGGCGUGUAGGGACAUCGGAACAUUGUCACACGGUGGCCCUGGGCUCCUUCCUAAGGAGCACCCACAAGCCUUGGGUAGACCUGCCUCCCUCCAUUCAACAGACUUUGUAAAUAUGCAGCCAACGCUGCUUCUGGGUGUGCAGGAGGUGACUGAGGUGACCAACAAACUCUACAUAAAACAGAUUCAGAUGUCACCACGGGCACGUGUGCUUGAGGAGGUUCAGCUAGCUUUUCCAUAACUCUAAGGGGCAAGGAGGGUCUGUCACCCUUGGCCGUCAUGCCCACAGAAAGGAACUCUGAGUCUGCACAAGCGGCAUCUUACCCUAGUCAUGGUCCUGCAGGGCUGGAGAUACAUUGCUUUGCAUUCUGAACCAGCGGAGUUGGGGGAACUAUGAACACCCAGAAAUGACCUCUAAUUGCCUGGAGCAUCCCUCCCAGGGGCUAAGGAAAACCAACCACCACCUUUUCUUUUGGUUCUCCCACAGCUGAGGGAUGGUGUCACACUGUGGACUGUGAGACCGAAAGGGGGUGAGCUGACAGGGCAGUCCACGACUCAGCAACGCUACUGUUAGAACGGUGAUGGGCAACCGAGAGGAGACAGUGUGCAGAGGCGUCUACAGACCCUGGGGAGACCUGAGCACCAAAGAAGAGGGAGAGGAGCUGAUCAAGGGACCAUCACAGAACCACAGGAGCACACAUAGGACACAGGAAGCCCCAGGAAGGUAAGGCCUUCAGGCCCCGGGAGAACUGGGAGGGAGGUGGCCACGAUGAGAACAGGGCUCAGGCUGAAACAUCAAGCUCCCUCUGGACUGGCCAUUCUAUACUGUAGUGGGAUAAAUGUAGGGACCACAAUUGCUUUUUCCUUUCAAGCCUUGUCCUACUAAGCACUUUGUGCACAGCAAACCUGGUACUUGGGUCCAACCUCCACACCAAAGCCACAGACAGAGUGUGUGAAGUGCUUUUAACCCAUUUCAACAGGUGCGGCCAUGAGGAGCUGAUGCCCACGUCUUUUCCAAGCACAGAGCUGGCAGACCUACUCAAGCCUGCUUGGCUGCGAGGCAUAAAGUCUGUGCAGCUCAGAUACCUGGAUGAAUCCCAAAGCCAAAGGCUAUGGAUUUGUUCCAGAUUAAGAUACAUCAGAUUUGACCAGCCAAGACCACCUGAAAGGUCUCCGAUGACACCAAGGCCCGGAUGAUCCAACAUCCAGAAUGGUUUGAAGGCAACUGGCUCAGACGAUACAGCCUCACGGACUACUCCAUGAUCCUUAAAUUUUCUUUAUGUCCCCAUAAGAUACAGUGUCCCCCUCCAGCAGGAAGUAGUAAGAGAAGCUACGCCCAAAUUCCCAAAUUAUAUGUAAUUUUACUUUGUUAAGGUUAAAACCUUCCUUUUUGAAAAAAAAAGGGGGAAGUGCUGUGGGAUGGUCUGUUUGUCAAGUGUGUUGCUAAUUAGUCAAUAAAUAAAACACUGAUUGGCCAUUGGCUAGCCAGGAAGUGUAGGCGGGACAAGGAGGAGAAUAAAGCUGGGAAGUGGAAGGCUGAGUCAGAGAGCUGCCAGCCGCCACGAUGACAAACAGCAUGUGAAGAUGCCGGUAAGCCAUGAGUCACGUGGCAAGGUAUAGAUUAAUGGAAAUGUAUUAAUUUAAGUUGCAAGAACAGUUAGCAAGAAGCCUGCCACGGCCAUACAGUUUGUAAGCAACAUAAGUCUCUGUGUUUGCUUGGUCGGGUCUGAGUGGCUGUGGGACUGGCAGGUGAGAGAGAUUUGUCCUGACUGUGGGCCAGGCAGGAAAACUUUAGCUACACUUGGUUGUCUCUAGAUUUCCAGUCCCCUUGCUCUAGUGCAACAAGACUCGGUGGGCUGUGCUGCGCCUGUAACAUGUCCAGGGGAAGACAGGAAGGGCUCUGCAUGUGAGGACCCUUCCUCUCGGGCUCACAUUAAUGACUUCUUUUCAAAUUACAAGGCCCAGCUAGUCAAGGAAGUCAAUUGUUAUACUUCUUUGGCUAUAAGAGACCUUUUCUUUUUCAUUUGGCAUUGUGCAUUGGACUCUGGGCCUCUGAGCCUCUGAGCCAUAUUCCCAACCCCAAAAUUGGCUUAGAGAACAAACAAACAGCCAGGCGGUGGUGCAUGCCUUUAAUCCCAGCACUCAGGGGCAGAGCCAGGUGGAUCUCUGUGAGCUCGAGGCCAGCCUGGUCUACAGAGCGAGAUCCAGGACAGGCACAAAAACUACACAGAGAAACCCUGUCUCGAAAAAAACAAACAAACAAACACACAAAAAGAAACAAACAACCCAAACAGUCUCUUUUUAGUUCAGGUGGGGCUUUAAUUUGCAAGUGUCCCGCUUCUGCCUUUUGAGUGCUGGGAUAACCUGUGUGCCUGGCAAAGACACUUUAAUGUGGGUCUCAAGCUUUUAUGUGGCAGGCUAAGAGCUAUGAUGGACUCCAGUGAGGUACUGUGGUGAGCAGGUCCAGCACAGGGCAGGAAUCCGAGUCUGGACGUCUCAGGUGAGGAACGGAGUUCCCAACACUCCAAGUGCUGCUCAAAGCUGUUUCCAGUAAGACUGACGCUGUGGUCCCCAAAUGACAUUUCUGUGUGGCCUUUUAGGGAAACAGAGGUAAAGGGCCAGCCAACUUCUCUAUCUACUUCAAGACCCAGACUUCAAAAGGGCAAUUACUUCUCAAAUAAUGAAUAUUAAAGCAUGUGCCUGAAGAAAAAACCCCAGCAGACUCUGAACAGGGUCAACUGUGGCACCUAUGUCUUCCUCUCUGGAGAGGGCCUGGUGACCCUGGCUCUUUGCUGGAGCACACAAGUGCCUCUCUUCAGAGAGGAGUGCAUCGUUCUUCAUUAGGCAGUAGUGUCUGCCUACAUGGGAGCAGAAGCCACGAGGAGCCGGUGCCGUGGGCAAAUCAGAAUGGCUGACGAGAAGCAAUGAGGGUCUGGAAUGGGGAGCACAGGCAGACGGUGUCUGACUCGGGGAGAGGGGUUUUAAAGAGUCUUCUUUCUGCUCAUUCCAUUUCACCCCAGAAUCCCCUGGCACACUAAAUCCAAGGUUAGAGCUCGGGGUCUGGGGCCACAGACAACGGUCCACUGCAUUUCCUUACCUGAGCAGUGGGUUAAGGACAACAUUCAAGACAUAACACAGACAGUCUAUGCUGCAAAAGCCAGUCUCUCAAGCAGGAGGGGUGGGUUAUGUGGCGGGAAGUGGGUCUGGACCACUCCCUCCACAAUGUCCUGAACGUAAGUUAUGUUUUCACAUGUGGAGAUGACCUCAGAAUCGACACGGACAUUCCUUAGGGAACUGUUAGGAAUAGGCGAGGAAGGGAGACGGGUAUUAGACAAGACGGGGUCUGUUAACUGGGGUGCAAGCGUCAGCCCUUUUUCAGCAUCAAUGACCAUGGGUGGGAGCCCCCCAAAACCCCAGAAGCUGGAGACACUGAAAGGGGCCUGUGGCCAAGUAGACUCCUGGACGUAUAAGACUAGGGACAAAGAGGGCAGAGGCUGACUCCUGCCCCCUACACAGGAGCCCAGGGUCCUACCUUCUAGGCACGUGCUGAACAAGUGCCCUACCUGGCUCUGGGUUCACUUUACUCACGUUUGUGUACAUGUUGCAUAUGUGUACACAUGUACACCCCCAGGCCUGGCUUUUAUUUUACUUACUUGUGUGUGUGUGUGGUAUACAUGUAGGUGACUGUGGGAGUGUGGAGGAAAGAGGUUGGCAGGAGCUGUUUUCCUCAGUCACUGACCACAUUAUUUAAUGUUUUUAUUAUUACAUUUAUUUUUCUUUUUAAAAUUUUAUUUACUUUUAUUUAUGUGUACAUGUGCCUGUCUGUGCAUACGUGUACAGGUGCCCACAGAGACCAGAAGAGAGUGUCAGAUCCCCUACAGCUGGAGCCACAGGUGGUUGUGAGCUGCCUUUCAUGGAUGCUGGAAUUGAACCCGGGUCCUCUGGAUGAGCAGCAAGCGCUCUAAUCCAGUGUGCCAUCUCUGCAGCCCGUUGUUAUUAUAUUAAUUAAUUUACUGUGUGAGGUGGUAUGAACAUGCCACGGCAAAAGUGGAUAACUUGCAGGAGUUGGCUCUUUCUAUCACGUGGGUUCAGACACUUAACCUGAUGCUGAGGCAUCAGGCUCAGCAGCAAGUACCUUCAACCAAGGACAGGCCCACCACCUGAGUUUUUGAGACAGGGUCUCUUACUGAACCUGGAGCUCAGACUAGCUGGACAGCCAACUACAGGAACCCUUUGUCUCUGCUUCUGAGCACUGGGAUUAGAGUGUACAUCACCAUGCCUGGCUUUUUCUUUUUUUAAUGUGGGUAUUGGGGAAUGGAAGUCAAGGUCUCAUGCUCACAUGACAGGCAUUGACUGAGAUGACUGAUUCGUCUCCCAGCUCUGGUUUUUAUUUCUAUAUAUUUUUGUUUUGGGGAUUUUUUUUUUUCUUUGAGACAGUCUCAUAUUAGCUUAGGCUGAUUUCAAA
This is a long non-coding RNA of Peromyscus californicus insignis, 7355 nucleotides long. RefSeq lists it as uncharacterized. The record is from RefSeq and is a predicted model, not a curated record. The transcript has 2 exons. Lineage: Eukaryota; Metazoa; Chordata; Mammalia; Rodentia; Cricetidae.